AGGCCUUGGUUGCCUUCCCUCCGCCUCCCCCCUGCCUGCCCCUCCUCUCUUCCCCCAAAUCCAUCCCUGAGGGAAGACUGCACUUGGAGCCCAGGGAAGGCCGCCUCUGGGAGGGAACUGAGGGAGAAGGUUAAUUAGAUGUUUGCAUCCAAUUUACGUCUUGUUUGUGAACGCUCCAUCUCAGCUGCAGCCCGGGCCGGCGCCCCUCGCCCUCCAUCGCACAGCUCCGAGUUACCCGCGGCUCCAAGCGUCGGUCCCCAGGUCAAAAACGCGCCAUUAUCGUUUUAUCGCCGACUCUCCCUCUGCAAUUACGGAACAGAGAGCUGCCUCCCGGCCUGAGGUUGUUAGGCCCCCUUCUCUACCUCCCUGGACACCACAUCGGCAGAGGAUUCCAGGGGCCGAAUUCAGGUCCUCAGAAUCGGUGGCCAGCACCUUGACUGCCUGAGCCCAUCCCUCAGGCUAACAGGAAGGGCAUUUUAACCCAGGAAACAGCAGGUGCAAAACACCCAGAGGCGGGACCACGUUGGCAGAAUAUGAGAAACAGCGAGAAGAAUGAGGGCCCAGCCCACCAUGGGGAUGCCACCCUCAGGCAGAUGGAUCUGGCCUUUGUAAGGAAGGUGGUUGAGAAUGAGCCUGGAAAUGAGAUGGUGUCAACAAGAUGAUGCUCUUAGGAUUGGAGCGAUGGCUCAGUGGUUAAGAGCCCUGGCUGCUCUUCCAGAGGAAGUUCUCAGCACCCACAUGACAGCUCACAGCUGUCUGUAACUCCAGUUCCAGGGGAUCCAACCACCUCUUUUGACAUCUCUGUACACCAGGCAUACAUAUGGUGCACAGACAUAUAUGCAGGAAAAAUACCCAUACACAUAAAAAUUUUCAAAUGAAAAAAAUGACAA
Long non-coding RNA from Peromyscus californicus insignis, 890 nucleotides. RefSeq lists it as uncharacterized. The record is from RefSeq and is a predicted model, not a curated record. The transcript has 4 exons. Lineage: Eukaryota; Metazoa; Chordata; Mammalia; Rodentia; Cricetidae.